Long non-coding RNA from Scomber japonicus (chub mackerel), 529 nucleotides. RefSeq lists it as uncharacterized. NCBI's taxonomy places the organism in Eukaryota, Metazoa, Chordata, Actinopteri, Scombriformes, Scombridae. The transcript is spliced from 3 exons. The record is from RefSeq and is a predicted model, not a curated record.
CUGUGCUGCUGCUGUCUGGUUCCACUGAUUCAGCAGUCUCUCUGAGUAUCAGUCCAGACCUUCAGCAGUUCUUCACCAGAGAGUCUCCACUGACUCUGAGCUGUGAUGAAGACGGACGGACAGCUGAUGGAUGGACGGUGAAGAGGAGAGCAGGAGGACAGACUGGACAGUGUGGUGUUGGUCAACAAGACUUUGGGAGGAUUGUAGAUUCUAACUGCAUCAUCUCAAGUCCCUUUCAAUCAGAUUCUGGAGUUUACUGGUGUGAAAGAUCUGGAGAGAGAAGUGAAGAGAUCAACAUCGUAGUUACUGAUCUUCCCUUUAAGCUGGAGAUUCCUGCAGUUCCUGUGCUGACAGGAAGUGAUGUCACUCUGCGCUGUAGGACCAACGAUGGUUCCACACCAGCACCUGAUUUAUUAAAGAACGGUGAACGUAUCAGAUCUGACUCUAAAGGAGAGUUUAUCAUCAGUAACGUCCAACAGUCUGAUGAAGGUCUCUACUCGUGUGUUGUUGGUCUGACUGGAGAAUCUGC